Molecule: long non-coding RNA, 675 nt
Organism: Tympanuchus pallidicinctus (lesser prairie-chicken)
Lineage: Eukaryota; Metazoa; Chordata; Aves; Galliformes; Phasianidae
Exons: 5
Source: RefSeq, a predicted model, not a curated record
UAAGCGUGACAUCAUAUAAAGGGAAUGUACACAACCCCAAAAGUGUCCUGCUGGUUUGUGUUAGCUUCCCUGUUCAGAUCCAUCCUGUGUAGCUCUAGUUAAGCUUUACCAGUUUGAAAAUAGAGAUAUCUGUUUGAACAAAGAGGGAACAAAGGGUUCACUGCGGGGAGAAGCUUCCCUGCACCCAGCAAACAUGGAGCAAAGCUGAUAGGAACAUUUCAAAGAUGGCCAUGAAGACUUAUCUCAGUGAAGCCCCUCAGAAGUCCAGCAUGUUGCCUCAAUGAUUUUAUGAUUCUAAAAUGAACCUCUGAGAGGACAAGCAGACCAGCUCCCUCGCAGCCCAGCACCUUCAAGAGUCUGCCCCAGCCAGAGCUUGUGCUCAUUCUGAGUUUGUUCCAAACAGCAGCUGAGGAGAGACGCGGAGACACAUCUGAGCAAAAAAUCAAGCAUGGAAAGUUCAGAGAAUGCAACGAAGACAGAAGUCCCUUGUAAAAUGAGAGCAGGAAAAACUGCUAACAGAAACAAGUCCAUCAUCAGUGUGGAGCCACCACUCCCCUUUCCAGUGGAGUCUACUUCAGCUCUGAAGCUGAGACUGCCAACGUUACCGUGGAAACCCCCAAAAAUAAAGACUUUCCCAGCCUUGUGAGAGCACACCUGCAAGAGCAAGAACGACAG